UAGGGAAUCUUCGGCAAUGGACGAAAGUCUGACCGAGCAACGCCGCGUGAGUGAAGAAGGUUUUCGGAUCGUAAAACUCUGUUGUUAGAGAAGAACAAGGACGUUAGUAACUGAACGUCCCCUGACGGUAUCUAACCAGAAAGCCACGGCUAACUACGUGCCAGCAGCCGCGGUAAUACGUAGGUGGCAAGCGUUGUCCGGAUUUAUUGGGCGUAAAGCGAGCGCAGGCGGUUUCUUAAGUCUGAUGUGAAAGCCCCCGGCUCAACCGGGGAGGGUCAUUGGAAACUGGGAGACUUGAGUACAGAAGAGGAGAGUGGAAUUCCAGGUGUAGCGGUGAAAUGCGUAGAUAUAUGGAAGAGCAACAGUGGCGAAGGCAGCUCUCUGGUCUGUAACUGACGCUGAGGCUCGAAAGCGUGGGGAGCAAACAGG
RNAcentral lists this ribosomal RNA (429 nucleotides) under Gemmatimonadota bacterium. RNAcentral's name for it is "Gemmatimonadetes bacterium partial 16S ribosomal RNA". It matches the Rfam family "Bacterial small subunit ribosomal RNA", at positions 355 to 776 of the family's 1533-position model. Lineage: Bacteria; Pseudomonadati; Gemmatimonadota. The record is from RNAcentral.